Aphis gossypii (cotton aphid) is the source of this 646-nucleotide long non-coding RNA. RefSeq lists it as uncharacterized. The transcript has 2 exons. NCBI's taxonomy places the organism in Eukaryota, Metazoa, Arthropoda, Insecta, Hemiptera, Aphididae. The record is from RefSeq and is a predicted model, not a curated record.
UUCAUGUCAUAGCUUAUAUAUUGAUGACAGUAAACAAUUUUUAUAAUAAUUGCGAUUCUUUACACGUUUUCCACAGUACCUACUUAUUUACGGGCAAUAAUAUUGUGUUUUAGGUGUAUUGUAACUACUUAAUUGUAAGUUACGGUAAUUGUUCGACGACAGUUGUGUAUUUGUUUGACCUGAUUGAAUAUGCACCAUCGAGUGAUUCGAGCGAUGGAAAUUCGUGGAAUUAAUUAAUUGAAUGUAUCCAACUACGGAAUUUUAAAACUAAUCAUUUUAACAAAGUUGUUUAAUUUUCUUUGGUGACUAAAUUGAAAAAUGUUAGAUCAAUGUUUAAAACUAUUGAUGAAAAUAAUUCUCAUUUUUUGUAUAGUAUAUAUUUGUUAUGAUAUGUUGUUAAUUAUGUUCAAAAUAAUUUUAUUAUUUUUUUUAUAUUACACAUUGAAAUCACUGUUUAAAUAAUAAUUAAUGGAAUUGUUAUUCAUGUUUAAUGAUAACUGUACUUAAUAGUAACUUAAAAAACUGUGACAGAAAUAUCGCGUACCAACUCUUCAUUCUUACACACAAACACCGCACAAAACAAAAUGUAUGGAAUAAUAACGCUAGAAUGUUAUAUGACGUAUUGAAAUACAUCAUAUUCAAUUGA